AACCUAGCACACCUGCGGUGUGUACCUGCGGAGGGAUCAUUACAGAGAUUGAUGCACCAAGUGCAUCACCUCCAACCCCUUGCGAAAACAACUAUCAUGUGUUGCUUUGGCAGUGUUUCCACUGCCAGAGGUUUACAUAAAAUCAGCUGUUGGAUGUUGUCUGAGUAAACUAUAUGAAUUAUUUAAAACUUUCAACAACGGAUCU
This 205-nucleotide unclassified non-coding RNA is filed under the name soil metagenome. RNAcentral describes it as "partial contains 5.8S ribosomal RNA, internal transcribed spacer 2, and large subunit ribosomal RNA". The record is from RNAcentral.